GACUUAACAAAUAGUAAACUAAGAAGCUUGUUAAUAAGUAAUUCACCGAUUGAAAUGUAAAUGCGCUAACUGUUAGCCUACAACUGUUAGCCACAUCCUGAGGGGAAAUGAAAGGUAAAUUAGGUGUUAGUUAGGGGUGUUUGGAGACAAACUUAAAUCCAGUGUCAAACAAAAAGCAGCCUCCGCCUUUCACGCUGUUCUUCAAUGGUCAGGACCACCACAGAGCAGGAAACCCAUGCAGACAGGGGGAGAACAUGCAAACUCCACACAGAAAGGACCCGGACGGCCCCACCUGGAGGAUCGAACCCAGGACCUUCUUGCUGUGAGGCGACAGUGCUACCCACCGAGCCUCCGUGCCACCCUUAUCAUUCAUAUACACUGCACAAUCUGUAAUCACUCACUCCUGCACUUUAAUUAUAAUAUAUGUGAAUAAUCUUGCACUUCUGGUUAGAUGCGACUGUACUAGUGCUCUGCACAUUGACAAUAAAGUUAAAUCUGAUCUAAUCUAGUCUAAUACAACCUCUACAUGACGUUGCUGACCUUAAAACCUACUGCUAAUCUGUAUGACCUAGUAGGCUUGCAACAUGGUUAAACCAUCGCGACCCCUUACUUUGCUUCAGCUGUGAUGUGUUAUGUAAACACCACUCAGAGAUUCAAAUGUUCAAGGUGUUUUGAAACCAUGGUAAAAACUAAGGACCUGUCACAAAUGCUGAGAGGAGAUCAUUGUAUUGUGCCAAAAGGGCACAAGUCCUCAGCAAUCUCAUCAAGACAAUGAAGAAAACCCUCUUGUUUUUGUUUAUUAAAUGUUUGUACUUAGUCUAAAAGGUUUGAAAACUAUUUAUUUGCUUUAAACCAAGAUUUUGCAAUUUAUUUAUUAGUGAAACGAGCGUUUAAACAUUUUUAACUCUG
Long non-coding RNA from Trichomycterus rosablanca, 909 nucleotides. RefSeq lists it as uncharacterized. The transcript has 3 exons. Lineage: Eukaryota; Metazoa; Chordata; Actinopteri; Siluriformes; Trichomycteridae. The record is from RefSeq and is a predicted model, not a curated record.